CGGGGCCAGGCUCUGCCUGUGGCUGCUGACUCAUUCUGCAGCUGAGCAUCCCUGGAAAGCCGCUGAUCAGCUGCGCUAUGGGCUGGCAGGGCACCUUGGGAGCAGGGACAAAGUUGUCACGUGCAGGGACAGAGGGGCUUUGCAUGGGGAUGGGACAGCCUGGGAAAGCCUCUCUGUGAUGGUGUGGAGAGGAAGGGGCUCGGGACCCCCGUUUGCAGCAUCACCCGUGCUUUGGUGUGGCUUAAAUUAGAGUGAGUUCAGGGGAGGAAGAAAGAUUGUUCUCAUCCCGAAAUACCUCUGCUCAUUUUCCACCUGGUUUCCCAGGGAAAUGGAGGCAGUUAGUGUGCACAUGAGCAUCCCACCCAACCCCGUGGCUGGGAACUCAGAGCUAAUGCAGCCCUGCUCCCUGCUUCCCACUUUCCCUUUAGCUGCCUUCCCUUGCUGCCGCUCCCAGCCUUUCCUUUGCGAAGGCUAAAAAAAAACCAUUCCAUUUGUAAUAAUAGGAAAAAAAUACAUAUCCAACCCCAAACCCCAAACCUCAAACAGUGACGCCUGAGAGUCCUGCCAUCACGGGACUCCCGUGGGCAGGGUGAGUUGGGUUUAACCCCUAUGGAGCCCCAAUCCCAGUGUGUUGGGUGUCCCAGCUCUGGGUGGGCACAGGAGGGGAGCAGCCCCCCGCUCACUCCAUCUUGCUGCACUCAUGCAGCUUUCAUCCCCUGAAUUUCCUUGCUGAGGCUUCACGGCUGCUCCCUGCUUGUACCACUGCGGCGCCUGGGGAACAGGAAGAAAAAGAGCCUGGGACAAAAAGUGCCUCGCUCCACCACACUGGGGGUCACAGCCAGUCACCACGCAGCAGGGACCAUCCCUCAAUCUGCUCCGUGGGGUUGAAUUCCAAUGAUCAAUCCAGAGCUGGGAAAGCCCCCAGCUUGGUGCUGGCAGCACUGGUCAUGUAUUGGAUGGAAAAGGAUGGAUGCAUGGCGUGCAGUGCUAGGGGACGUGCGUGUGUGGUGCGUGGUGCUAAGGGGCUGUACAUGCAUGGUGCGUGCUGCUCAGGGCUGUGUGUCCAUGGUGCGUGAUGCUAGGAGGUGUACAUCCAGAGUGCACGGUGCUAGGGGCUGUGCAAGCAUGGUGCACGGUGCUAAAAGGUGUACAUGUAGUGCUGGAGGCUGUUUGCCCUUGGUUCUUGGGCUGUAUUCACACCACUCCCUGGCACGUUGGUUCCCUGGGGUUCUCAGGGAUCAUCCUUUGCAGAGAGAUGCAGCUCCAGGGCAGCCUCCCUUCAGCCUGGCCCUGGCAGCCUGCGACCUGGGCCAGAGCUCACCACAGAGGUGCCAAAUCUGCUUCAGUGGCUGCCAAAAUCAAUGCAGCACAAAGAGCUCAUAAAUUACAAAGGCGCUCUGAGGCUCAGGGUCGCUGCGUGCCAGUCCAGGGCCGAGGAAACCACCGAGCCCCUGCAGAGGAGUGCAUGGGGCCACGCUAUCCUGCAGAGCCAUGCACCACGCAGGGACCUCUCCAUAUCCCUGGUGUCCUCUCCAGAUGGCUGGAGCUCCUCCGUGACAUCCCCAGUGUCCCUGGUGCUGCUCUGCGGAGCUGGUGACAGCCGUGCUAGCUGCUGGGCUCUCCUUUCAGUGCUGCUCCUCAGCCGGCGAGGGAGAGCCCUUUGUGCCAGGCAGCCUUGAGAGAGACCUGGGACAUAAUGGCUGCUUUACUCGGCCCUGGUUUUCCCAGCCUGUGCGCGGGAAACCUCCGGCGUGAGCUGAAUGGCAACGAGGAGACCUCCUGCUCCAUCCCUCCCCCACUGCCCCAUGCUUUGUGCACCUUCAGCAUCCCCAUCUCCAGCUGAACCCCCCUGGCCACACGUGUGGAAGCACACUCACAAGCACAUGUACGUGCCCAUACACGUGCACAUGCAUGCUGCAGUGCACAUGCAAGUUGCAACGCAUGCACACCCAAAAGCCCAGCUUGCAUGCGUGCACUCACGCUCUCACACCAUGAGCCAGGGCUCAGUGGCUCAUUCCUUCAACCCUGAUCAACACCAGCUAUUACAAUCCCCUCUGAGGUUUCUGACUGCGGUGUCUCGAUGCGCAGCCCAGCUCUGGCAUCUCCUCCUGCCUGGCUGUGCACUCAGACUUUCCAUGCUGUGCUCAGAUCUGCUGUCCCCAGAGGACCCCUCUCCCUGGGGCUGGAUUGGACCCUGGGCACUGAGCUGAGGCACUGCAGCUCUCCUGCUCCUCAGAGCACAUCUGCACAUUUCCUUCUGCUCACUCUCCUUUAUGCCAUGCAGGGUCCGUGCUGGCUGCAUGCUCUCAACCUGAUGCUUUUGUGCAUCACCCCGUGCAUGCAGGCACCAGUCUCUCCCAGUCCUCCCUCUAGCAGAGAGCUGGAGGUUAUGAUACUUCUUUGCACUUCAAACCCUCUGCUGGACUUUUGUAACCCCUCACAGGGCACAGGAUGGCCUCAGUUCUCCCACUGCUGCUGCUCUGGGCAUUUGCCCCCACGGUGGUCCCGGAGGUGCUCAGCCCUGAAGAUGUCACAGAUGACCUCAAGGCCCUGCAGGUGUCCAUCCCACGGCACCCAGCCCUUCACGCUGUGCUGGCAGGGGACGUCACCAUCCCCUGCCUCAUCACCUACCUCGCACCCCUGCCCACUGCCACCACGGCGGGACGCCGAGCAGUGCUGGGAGCCCCCCGGGUCAAGUGGACCUUCAUUUCUGAAGGCAGGGAGGCAGAGAUCUUGGUAGCACGGGGGGAAAAGGUGAAGGUGAGUGAGGACUACCGCCUCCGUGCCUCCUUGCCUGUCUUCCAUCAGCGUUACACUGACGCCUCUCUGCUGCUCACCGAGCUGCGCCCCAAUGACUCGGGGAUCUACCGCUGCGAUGUGCAGCAUGGCAUCGAGGACGGCCACGACAUCCUCGACCUCAGAGUCAAAGGAGUGGUGUUUCACUACCGUGGGGGUUCCACACGCUACACCUACACUUUUGCCGAGGCGCAGGAGGCAUGCACUGCCAUCAGUGCCAGCAUUGCCACCCCUGAGCAGCUGUAUGCUGCCUAUCUGGGAGGCUACGAGCAGUGUGAUGCUGGCUGGAUCGCUGACCAGACCGUCAGGUACCCCAUCCACACUCCCCGCGAGGCGUGCUACGGAGACAUGAAUGGCUUCCCAGGGGUGAGGAACUACGGUGUGGUGGACCCGGAGGACAUGUACGACGUGUACUGUUAUGCUGAGGACGUGCCAGGGGAAAUAUUUUUGGAGACGGCCCCGGACAAGUUUACCCUGGAGGAGGCGGUGGUGCGGUGCAGGGCGCAGGGUGCGGUGCUGGCGAGCACAGGACAGCUCUACGCAGCCUGGAGUGCAGGGUUGGAUGCCUGCAACCCUGGCUGGCUGGCUGAUGGCAGCGUCCGCUAUCCCAUCGUCACCCCGCGGGAGCGCUGCGGAGGAGCCCUGCCGGGUGUCAAAACCAUCUUCCAGUUUCGCAACCAGACGGGAUUCCCCGACGCACAGAGCAGAUACGAUGCGUACUGCUUCCGAGAAGGGACAAACUCUUUCCCUGAGGCUGCAGGAAAAUAUCAAGCCAGAGAGCCCGAGGGCCUCCAGGAGAUUGUUACAGUGGCAGAAAAGCUGGAGGAGCUGCAGCUGCCCAAAGCGCAAGUGGAGAUUGAGUCGCGAGGGGCUAUAUACGCCGUCCCUUUCUUUAAGGACGUGGCUGAUGCUGAGCUGGAAAAGCCAAGCCUGUCCCCCGAAGACACCCGGCACCCCCCAGUAGAUACCUCCUCGUCCUCAGCACGAGGACGUCACCCAUCCUCGGCUGCCCCUUUCCCCACAGCCCCAGCCAUCCCCAAGGCAGGCAUCCCGCAUAGCUGUGCUGUACAACCAGGCAGCCCGUCCCCUGCAGACCAGGACGAGGCGACAGGGACAGGUGGAAGGUGCACAGAGGCCAGGCAAGAGCCAUCCCGCACGGAGGAUGGAGCAGCGCUGGAACGGCCGCUGGGCUCUGUGCUGGGUGAGGACUUUGGGAACACAGCAGCAGAGAGUCCGGGCAGAGGGCAAGAGCCUGGACAGCCCAUGAAGCCGAAUGUGCAGACAGUCUUGGUGGGCACAGAAGGACCCAGUGACGCCCUGUCCCCAUCGGUGGCUGCAGCAGAUAUCCAAGAGCCAUCCUCCUCUGUAGGCAGCCGUGGGGCUGGGGGGACCAGCACCCCCAUCCACACUGUGGGGGCUGCUGAGGACCCCGAGCUGUCAGGAGAUGUGACCGAAAACCCUGGGGCAUCCCCGCUGCCCCCCGCACCGCCGCAGCUGCAGGAUGAUGGAGAGGAGCAGUCGGGGGCCCCGUGGCUCUCCUCACCCACAGCACCAGGGGAUGGGGGCACAGCCCCGGCAACGGAGGUCACCCCAUGGCACGCAGAGUUGCCCAGCAGCAGCGAUGCACUGCAAACCCCAAGCACUGAUCGCGGGAUGCCCACUGCAUCUUCAGAAGAGGAGGAGGGUGAGGAAGAGGAGGAGGAUGAAGAAGAGCGUCCGAUGCCCUCUGUUGCAACCGUGGAGGGUUUCCUUGCAGCCGUCCCCGGAGAACCAGGUGGCUGCAUCCCCAACCCCUGCCUGAACGGAGGGACCUGCAUUGAGGAUGGCACCCAUCCCACCUGCCUCUGCCUGCCAGGUUAUGGAGGGAGCAGCUGUGAGAGACCUUUGAAGAGGUGCAGCCCCAGCUGGGACAGCUUCCAGGGAGCCUGCUACAAGCACUUCUCCACCCGGAGGAGCUGGGAGGACGCCGAGUCACAGUGCAGACAUUUUGGGGGGCAUCUGGCCACUAUCCUGACCCCCGAGGAGCAGGACUUCAUCAACGAACAGUACCGCGAGUACCAAUGGAUCGGCCUCAACGACCGCACCAUCGAGGGGGACUUCCAGUGGUCCGACGGCAGCCCCCUGCUCUACGAAAAUUGGCACCCGGGGCAACCCGACAGCUACUUUCUCUCCGGUGAGAACUGCGUGGUCAUUGUGUGGCACGACGGGGGACAAUGGAGUGAUGUCCCCUGCAAUUACCACCUCUCCUACACCUGCAAAAUGGGGCUGGUGCAGUGCGGACCCCCCCCCACCGUCAGCAACGCCCUCGCCUUCGGCAAACCAAAGCAGCGCUACGAGAUCGGCUCCAUCACUCGCUACCACUGCCGCCACGGCUUCGCCCCGCGCCGCUCCCCCAUCAUCCGCUGCCGUGAGGAUGGGAUUUGGGAACGGCCCCAGCUCUCCUGCCGCCCCGGGCUGGCUCAGCACUCCGAGGACUGAGUGAGCUGUCACCUUCCCAGGAUGGAUGAGGAUGUCACCGGGAUGGCAAUGCAGCACUGGAGGGCAAGAGGUGUCCUGGGCUGGGGGAUGCUGGAGGUACCUUGCAGUGCAGAGGUGAAGCAGAAGGCAUCAAAGCGGUCCCGCUGCUUGUCCUUGGCCCCAU
Molecule: RNA transcript, 5437 nt
Organism: Lagopus leucura (white-tailed ptarmigan)
Lineage: Eukaryota; Metazoa; Chordata; Aves; Galliformes; Phasianidae
Gene: BCAN
Gene name: brevican
Exons: 15
Source: RefSeq, a predicted model, not a curated record